UUUAAUUCGAAGCAACGCGAAGAACCUUACCAGGUCUUGACAUCCCGAUGCCCGCUCUAGAGAUAGAGUUUUACUUCGGUACAUCGGUGACAGGUGGUGCAUGGUUGUCGUCAGCUCGUGUCGUGAGAUGUUGGGUUAAGUCCCGCAACGAGCGCAACCCUUAUUGUUAGUUGCCAUCAUUCAGUUGGGCACUCUAGCGAGACUGCCGGUAAUAAACCGGAGGAAGGUGGGGAUGACGUCAAAUCAUCAUGCCCCUUAUGACCUGGGCUACACACGUGCUACAAUGGCUGGUACAACGAGUCGCAAGUCGGUGACGGCAAGCUAAUCUCUUAAAGCCAGUCUCAGUUCGGAUUGUAGGCUGCAACUCGCCUACAUGAAGUCGGAAUCGCUAGUAAUCGCGGAUCAGCACGCCG
RNAcentral lists this ribosomal RNA (413 nucleotides) under uncultured bacterium. RNAcentral's name for it is "bacterial SSU rRNA". It matches the Rfam family "Bacterial small subunit ribosomal RNA", at positions 945 to 1359 of the family's 1533-position model. The record is from RNAcentral.